UACCGAUGCUCUCGCGAUGCGACGCCAU
This 28-nucleotide small RNA is filed under the name Bombyx mori (domestic silkworm). RNAcentral describes it as "ovarian small RNA-20718". The record is from RNAcentral. Lineage: Eukaryota; Metazoa; Arthropoda; Insecta; Lepidoptera; Bombycidae.